UUACGAUCACAUCACGUUGAAACACCGGUUCAUAUGCGAUCACCGAAGUUAAGCAAUGUUGAGCCUGGUCAGUACCCAGAUGGGUGACCGUUUGGCAAUACUAGGUGCUGUAAG
Acanthosepion pharaonis is the source of this 114-nucleotide non-coding RNA. The record is from the annotation of a GenBank genome assembly. Lineage: Eukaryota; Metazoa; Mollusca; Cephalopoda; Sepiida; Sepiidae.